UGCAUAUGGCUUGGGCCGAUCUGCACCAGCGUCCCGAAUAUUGCCAGGCAAUAGUUGGCUCGAUGCACCGCAGACUACUCGCCGUAUUAGCCACCGAUGGACACGCUAUAAAUUACUGAGAGGUUUCCUCCACGAAGAUCGAUGUAGUGCUCGGUAUUUACGGCUGCUCGUACGAUAUGUAUUUCAACUCUAAGAAAAUUAUCAGAACGCUAGACGAUACGCCACUGCAGGCUGGAAAGGAUUAUCUUUCAUUUGCUGAACAAUUUGUUUAUCUUCGGCCGGAGUGAUGCAUCUUUAUCCCACGUUAAAAUUUCGCUGGUCUUGAAACAUAGCACCUUCACCCAUUUGAUAUCUUUGCACUCAUCUUCUAACAGUUUUCACACAGCAUUGAACUUGUGCGGCAAUUUCCUGCACUGUAUUUAUUUUGUAAUUUUGUAAAAAGACAACAUUUGAAAUUAUCGUAUUUACGAGAUAGGCAACAAAUGUGUAGUUAAAUUUGAUAUUUUCAUUUUAACAGUUGUUAAUUUUAAAAAUAAAUGCAUUAUAUUUGUUUUAUUGCAUGUAUUGUAUUUAUUUUACAUAUAUUUGAGUAUAUAGAUCCACGGUGGCAGCUCGUUGCAACGAGAUUUUACCGUAAUAAUUACGCAAGCGCGUCACGUAUCGAUGCGAUAGAUUUAGUUUAGAACGGCGAGUAAACAAAUUUAAAGAACGAUAACUAAUGAAGAUUUAACUGGAUAUUAAUAAAAGUGCGGUAGAGUGUG
Long non-coding RNA from Wasmannia auropunctata (little fire ant), 761 nucleotides. RefSeq lists it as uncharacterized. Lineage: Eukaryota; Metazoa; Arthropoda; Insecta; Hymenoptera; Formicidae. The transcript has 3 exons. The record is from RefSeq and is a predicted model, not a curated record.